Molecule: small RNA, 567 nt
Filed under: Pan troglodytes (chimpanzee)
Lineage: Eukaryota; Metazoa; Chordata; Mammalia; Primates; Hominidae
Description: retained intron
Source: RNAcentral
UCACCUUCCCCAACAUUGCCAGUGCCACCAAGUUCAAGCAGCUCUACCGCUCCCGCAUGAACUCCCUGGAGAUGACUCCCGCAGUCAGGCAGAGGGUGAUAGAAGAGGCCAAGACUGCGUUCCUGCUCAACAUCCAGCUCUUUGAGGAGUUGCAGGAGCUGCUGACCCAUGACACCAAGGACCAGAGCCCCUCACGGGCACCAGGGCUUCGCCAGCGGGCCAGCAACAAAGUGCAAGGUGAGAGCAUCCAGGAAGGGGCACUUCCUCUGGGCUACACAUGGAGGGACUUGGCUGUCUGACUGUAGUAUCUCUAUUCCUCUGUUUUCUGAAUGUUUGGUGGUGGUGGGUGUUGUUUCCUGCUGCCCCACCCCACUGCCCCUGUAAGGACAGGUUCUCGCUAUAUUGCCCAGGCCAGUCUUGAACACCUGACUUCAAGCAAUCCUCUUGCCUCUGCCUCCCCGAGUGCUGCAGUUACAGGCGCGAGCCACCAUGCCAGCCUGAAUGUUUGUUGUUGUUGUUGUUUGAGAUGGAGUCUCACCCAGGCUGGAGUGCAGUGGCGCGAUCUCA